UCAAAUGGUCUGGAGAAGGUUUUCACCAGCCAAAACUGAAUGUGCUCAAAGCCUUUAUGUGGUGGCCAAGAUGCCAAGCAUUACUGAUGGGGAAAGCCUCAUGUCAAGAACGACAGGAUUGGCCCAAGUACAACAGCAUAUUUACAACUGUGUGGAUGUGAAAAAUCACUUUGUAAAUAGUUUGUUUUUUCAAGGAAUGAACCAAUAUUUUUUUUCCAUUCAUCACAGCUAAUAUAGCUGAUAUUCUACUCAUCAUUUGGACAAUUAUGCACAAGUGGGAGACCUUCAACACUUUAUACAGCAAGUAUAUGCACAUCCAUAUCAUAUAGAUUGUGCUUGAUUUAUUCUUCUGCUUUUUCUAUUAGUUUUUUAUUCUCUUCUCUCUUUUCUUACUGCAGUCAAAGGAUAAUACACUUUUUUUUGACAUGAGGAUAAAAUGACAGUAUAUUUAAAAAAGAAAGAAAAUAAUCUAUUAAAAAAAUAUAUAUAUAUAUUCAAGAAGGAACUUGUUUGUUUAUGAAUACCUGGAUCGAUGUUUGAAACUAUUCAUAAAAAGACAGUUGUAUUACGGAGGUAUGUGUUUUGUAGAGGAUUUAUUUAUUUCGCUUUAUUUUUUAUUCAUUAUGAUAUAAUUUUGCCUCAUUUUGUUCCAGUUUUAGUAUACCUAUUACCAUAAUGAUACUGAAGGAUAUUAUUAAUCUAGUAUAUGUCAGAUUGUAACUUAAUGAGUUAAUAGAUUGAGUUGUCUUUAUAGAAAUUAUAUGCUCAAAGAUGAACA
This is a non-coding RNA of Penaeus vannamei (Pacific white shrimp), 778 nucleotides long. NCBI's taxonomy places the organism in Eukaryota, Metazoa, Arthropoda, Malacostraca, Decapoda, Penaeidae. The record is from RefSeq and is a predicted model, not a curated record.